This 403-nucleotide ribosomal RNA is filed under the name uncultured bacterium. RNAcentral's name for it is "bacterial SSU rRNA". It matches the Rfam family "Bacterial small subunit ribosomal RNA", at positions 355 to 775 of the family's 1533-position model. The record is from RNAcentral.
UGGGGAAUCUUAGACAAUGGGCGCAAGCCUGAUCUAGCCAUGCCGCGUGGGUGAUGAAGGCCUUAGGGUCGUAAAGCCCUUUCGCCGGGGAAGAUAAUGACGGUACCCGGUAAAGAAACCCCGGCUAACUCCGUGCCAGCAGCCGCGGUAAUACGGAGGGGGUUAGCGUUGUUCGGAAUGACUGGGCGUAAAGCGCGCGUAGGCGGGCUGGAAAGUUGGGGGUGAAAUCCCGGGGCUCAACCCCGGAAUGGCCUUCAAAACUCCCAGCCUAGAGUUCGAGAGAGGUGAGUGGAAUUCCGAGUGUAGAGGUGAAAUUCGUAGAUAUUCGGAGGAACACCAGUGGCGAAGGCGGCUCACUGGCUCGACACUGACGCUGAGGUGCGAAAGCGUGGGGAGCAAACAG